RNAcentral lists this ribosomal RNA (465 nucleotides) under uncultured bacterium. Its description in RNAcentral is "bacterial SSU rRNA". It matches the Rfam family "Bacterial small subunit ribosomal RNA", at positions 339 to 794 of the family's 1533-position model. The record is from RNAcentral.
GUACGGGAGGCAGCAGUCGAGAGGCUUCUACAAUGGGGGAAACCCUGAUAGAGCGACGCCGCGUGGGUGAUGAAGGUCUUCGGAUCGUAAAGCCCUUUCAGCAGAGACGAAUGCGAUGAAUGCUAAUAUCAUUGAUUGCGAGACGGUAUCUGCAGAAGAAGCUCCGGCUAACUCCGUGCCAGCAGCCGCGGUAAGACGGAGGGAGCAAGCGUUGUUCGGAUUUACUGGGCGUAAAGGGCGUCUAGGCGGGCCAGCCAGUCAGGUGUGAAACCCCCCGGCUCAACCGGGGAUCUGCACUUGAUACUGCUGGUCUUGAGUACGGAAGAGGAAGGCGGAAUUCCUGGUGUAGCGGUGAAAUGCGUAGAUAUCAGGAAGAACACCGGUGGCGAAGGCGGCCUUCUGGUCCGAUACUGACGCUAAAGCGCGAAAGUGUGGGGAGCAAACAGGAUUAGAUACCCCGGUAGC